GACGAACGCUGGCGGCGUGCCUAAUACAUGCAAGUAGAACGCUGAAGAGAGGAGCUUGCUCUUCUUGGAAGAGUUGCGAACGGGUGAGUAACGCGUAGGUAACCUGCCUUGUAGCGGGGGAUAACUAUUGGAAACGAUAGCUAAUACCGCAUAAUAAUGGAUGACCCAUGUCAUUUAUUUGAAAGGGGCAACUGCUCCACUACAAGAUUGACCUGCGUUGUAUUAGCUAGUAGGUGAGGUAACGGCUCACCUAGGCGACGAUACAUAGCCGACCUGAGAGGGUGAUCGGCCACACUGGGACUGAGACACGGCCCAGACUCCUACGGGAGGCAGCAGUAGGGAAUCUUCGGCAAUGGGGGCAACCCUGACCGAGCAACGCCGCGUGAGUGAAGAAGGUUUUCGGAUCGUAAAGCUCUGUUGUAAGUCAAGAACGAGUGUGAGAGUGGAAAGUUCACACUGUGACGGUAGCUUACCAGAAAGGGACGGCUAACUACGUGCCAGCAGCCGCGGUAA
This 513-nucleotide ribosomal RNA is filed under the name uncultured bacterium. Its description in RNAcentral is "partial 16S ribosomal RNA". It matches the Rfam family "Bacterial small subunit ribosomal RNA", at positions 28 to 523 of the family's 1533-position model. The record is from RNAcentral.